AAUCAAUGAUUUUUAUUUAUUUUCAUGAUAUUGCUAAAAUCUUGCAGGAUAACAUAUUAUGGUAUUUGAGUUAUGUAAGAUUGCAGCCAGACUUAAUAAAUUGGUGAUUUUUAUAUAUUAUUGUCUAUCAAUCUAUCAAUCAAAGAUAGAAUAAAAUUUUUAUUUUUUUAAUAUAACGUGGGCACAUAAAUUUGAUACACCCUGUAUAUUGAUUUGUAAAUAUUUAUUAGAAGGUAGCUUUCACGUAGUAGAUUUCUCCUUAAUUAGUUUUUCCCUGAAAAAUAAAAUACAUUUGUAAAUAAAAGUGAAGUGAAAGUGAUUUAGGAAUAUAAGUUUAAAAAGAUUGUUUACGGAAAAGAUAAAACCACAGGUAGAUCUAAUUAGUAGUUUUUAGAAAAAUAGAGGUAAAUAGAAUUGGAAUUUUAAAUAUGUUUGUUUAAUGACAGGAAUAUUUAGAUAAUUUCCGAAAAGUCAUUAGUGUUUGAGUAGAAAUAUUGUUUGAAAGAAUGACUGGGUUUUUCGAUUGAAACAGAGGAAGGUGGAGAGAGAAAUGUUUCUGAUUGGCUUGCCAAUUUGGAAUGGGGAAAGUUUUGUUUGAAUGUUGAGACAUUUUGGAAAAUAAAAGAUCAUUGUGUUACCGGCAUCCGAAAGAAGCAGUCAAAAGUUUUCGUGAGUAGUUCAGAAGCAAGUACUAGUGUUUUGUUUUGAUAGUGAGAGUAGCUGAAAGUGGAACGAGAGACAAAUCAAAUCGAGAAGAAAUACCUCUUUGAUUCUGUAAAGUCCAAGAGAGUAAGUUACAAGAAUUAUCAUUGUUAAAAUAAUUUGUGACACCAAGUGAAAAAGAUACUUGGGUCUCAGGAGAUUAUUGUUGAGAGAAAGAGAGGAGAGAGUUUUGGAGUUUAUUGAACGAGUACUGGUCAAAAGGAGCCUGGCUUGUGUUUUGGGAGAAAUAGUGCUGGUUUGCUGCUGGAUUUUUGCUGAGAACGGAGAGGGUUUUGAUUGAUAGCCUAACAUAAUCAACAAGGAGGAGCUGUUUGGGUCAAGAGGAGACAUCAUUGUGUGUGAAUCAAAAAGGUCAGUCAAUAACCUAUGUGAUAGAUUUUUUUUUAUAAUCAGAAGUUAAAUUUUUUUACGUAAAAGCAUAUGCAUUUAAGAUUCCAACAUUUCAAAAAUUUAAUAGGAAGUAUAAGUAAUUUGCGAAUACCAAAUUUGUUUGUUUAGCUUGUUUUAUUAAUAGUAUCAAGAACAAAGCGAUAAAUAUUUGUUUGAAUUAGAUUAAUUUAAAUGGUAAAGGUUUCUUUUGGACAGUUAUUCCCACAGGAUUUAAUUAAUAAAUUUACAGAGCAUUGCUUUUUAUAAUAAAGGUAUUUGCAUGUGUUUA
Long non-coding RNA from Diabrotica virgifera virgifera (western corn rootworm), 1381 nucleotides. RefSeq lists it as uncharacterized. The transcript is spliced from 2 exons. Lineage: Eukaryota; Metazoa; Arthropoda; Insecta; Coleoptera; Chrysomelidae. The record is from RefSeq and is a predicted model, not a curated record.